This 216-nucleotide ribosomal RNA is filed under the name uncultured bacterium. RNAcentral describes it as "partial 16S ribosomal RNA". It matches the Rfam family "Bacterial small subunit ribosomal RNA", at positions 328 to 539 of the family's 1533-position model. The record is from RNAcentral.
ACGCUCGACACCUACGGGAGCAGCAGUGAGGAAUAUUGGUCAAUGGGCGCUAGCCUGAACCAGCCAAGUAGCGUGAAGGAUGAAGGCUCUAUGGGUCGUAAACUUCUUUUAUAUAAGAAUAAAGUGCAGUAUGUAUACUGUUUUGUAUGUAUUAUAUGAAUAAGGAUCGGCUAACUCCGUGCCAACAGCCGCGGUAAUCUGAGCGGCUGGCAAGGC